UACGUAGGGGGCAAGCGUUGUCCGGAAUCAUUGGGCGUAAAGCGCGUGUAGGCGGUUCGGUAAGUCUGCUGUGAAAGUCCAGGGCUCAACCCUGGGAUGCCGGUGGAUACUGUCGGGCUAGAGUACGGAAGAGGCGAGUGGAAUUCCCGGUGUAGCGGUGAAAUGCGCAGAUAUCGGGAGGAACAUCAAUUGCGAAGGCAGCUCGCUGGGACGUCACUGACGCUGAGACGCGAAAGCGUGGGGAGCAAACAGG
RNAcentral lists this ribosomal RNA (253 nucleotides) under uncultured bacterium. RNAcentral describes it as "partial 16S ribosomal RNA". It matches the Rfam family "Bacterial small subunit ribosomal RNA", at positions 524 to 776 of the family's 1533-position model. The record is from RNAcentral.